UACGUAGGGUGCAAGCGUUAUCCGGAAUUAUUGGGCGUAAAGAGCUCGUAGGCGGUUUGUCGCGUCUGCUGUGAAAACCCGAGGCUCAACCUCGGGCCUGCAGUGGGUACGGGCAGACUAGAGUGCGGUAGGGGAGAUUGGAAUUCCUGGUGUAGCGGUGAAAUGCGCAGAUAUCAGGAAGAACACCCGUGGCUAAGGCGGCUCUCUAGUACGGUACUGACGCUGAGACGCGAAAGCGUGGGGAGCGAACAGG
RNAcentral lists this ribosomal RNA (253 nucleotides) under uncultured bacterium. RNAcentral's name for it is "partial 16S ribosomal RNA". It matches the Rfam family "Bacterial small subunit ribosomal RNA", at positions 524 to 776 of the family's 1533-position model. The record is from RNAcentral.